This 514-nucleotide ribosomal RNA is filed under the name uncultured fungus. Its description in RNAcentral is "SSU rRNA". It matches the Rfam family "Eukaryotic small subunit ribosomal RNA", at positions 569 to 1081 of the family's 1831-position model. The record is from RNAcentral. Lineage: Eukaryota; Fungi.
CGCAGCCGCGGUAAUUCCAGCUCCAAUAGCGUAUAUUAAAGUUGUUGCAGUUAAAAAGCUCGUAGUUGAAUUUCGAGAUCAAUAUGUUGGUCGUGCCUCGGUACGUACUAGCAUUAUUGAUUUCUCCCUUUCUGAUGAACCAUGAUGCCAUUAAUUUGGUGUCUUGGGGAAUCAGGACUGUUACUUUGAAAAAAUUAGAAGUGUUUAAAGCAGGCUCACGCUUGAAUACAUUAGCAUGGAAUAAUGAAAUAGGACGUUUGAUUCUAUUUUGUUGGUUUCUAGGAUCGACGUAAUGAUUAAUAGGGAUAGUUGGGGGCAUUAGUAUUCAAUUGUCAGAGGUGAAAUUCUUGGAUUUAUUGAAGACUAACUACUGCGAAAGCAUUUGCCAAGGAUGUUUUCAUUAAUCAAGAACGAAAGUUAGGGGAUCGAAGACGAUCAGAUACCGUCGUAGUCUUAACCAUAAACUAUAGCCGACUAGGGAUCGGAUGAUGUUAAUUUUUUAAUGUACUCAUUC